RNAcentral lists this ribosomal RNA (502 nucleotides) under uncultured bacterium. RNAcentral describes it as "partial 16S ribosomal RNA". It matches the Rfam family "Bacterial small subunit ribosomal RNA", at positions 30 to 523 of the family's 1533-position model. The record is from RNAcentral.
AUUGAACGCUGGCGGCAUGCCUUACACAUGCAAGUCGAACGGCAGCAUAGGAGCUUGCUCCUGGUGGCGAGUGGCGAACGGGUGAGUAAUAUAUCGGAACGUGCCCUAGAGUGGGGGAUAACUAGUCGAAAGACUAGCUAAUACCGCAUACGAUCUACGGACGAAAGUGGGGGAUGGCAAGACCUCAUGCUCCUGGAGCGGCCGAUAUCUGAUUAGCUAGUUGGUGGGGUAAAAGCUCACCAAGGCGACGAUCAGUAGCUGGUCUGAGAGGACGACCAGCCACACUGGGACUGAGACACGGCCCAGACUCCUACGGGAGGCAGCAGUGGGGAAUUUUGGACAAUGGGGGCAACCCUGAUCCAGCAAUGCCGCGUGAGUGAAGAAGGCCUUCGGGUUGUAAAGCUCUUUUGUCAGGGAAGAAACGGUUCUGGAUAAUACCUGGGACUAAUGACGGUACCUGAAGAAUAAGCACCGGCUAACUACGUGCCAGCAGCCGCCGUAA